CGGGGCAUAGUGUAAUGGCAGCACGAGUUCUUCGGGAGAAUUUAGUCCCAGUUCAAAUCUGGGUGCCCCGA
This 71-nucleotide transfer RNA is filed under the name Candidatus Parcubacteria bacterium. RNAcentral describes it as "tRNA-Pro". It matches the Rfam family "tRNA". From Rfam's summary of the family: Transfer RNA (tRNA) molecules are approximately 80 nucleotides in length. Their secondary structure includes four short double-helical elements and three loops (D, anti-codon, and T loops). Further hydrogen bonds mediate the characteristic L-shaped molecular structure. tRNAs have two regions of fundamental functional importance: the anti-codon, which is responsible for specific mRNA codon recognition, and the 3' end, to which the tRNAs corresponding amino acid is attached (by aminoacyl-tRNA synthetases). tRNAs cope with the degeneracy of the genetic code in two manners: having more than one tRNA (with a specific anti-codon) for a particular amino acid; and 'wobble' base-pairing, i.e. permitting non-standard base-pairing at the 3rd anti-codon position. Lineage: Bacteria; Candidatus Parcubacteria. The record is from RNAcentral.